Callithrix jacchus (white-tufted-ear marmoset) is the source of this 4190-nucleotide long non-coding RNA. Lineage: Eukaryota; Metazoa; Chordata; Mammalia; Primates; Cebidae. The record is from Ensembl.
CACCACCACACAUUUCCCAGAGCUUGCCACACAAGACCGAGCACCCAGCCUGCACCUUCAGCAGAUGAGAAGCUGUGCUCUGGGAGCCAUAGAAAAGCAAGGUUAACUUACCUAAAAUACGCUAUACAGGCCUCUUAGGAGACAGCAGAGUUGUUUAAUGAGGGAGCACUUCCCAGGUUUGGAUUGUAGGAAUUAACAAGCAGGGGUCAGGUCUAGUUACAAACUCACGGGAACCUCCUCAGUCUCAAAGAGAAUCAACACUUUAAUAAAGAAAAAGAAAAGACACCUGCUUAGCAGAGAGCCCCAGGGUUAAUAGAAAGGACAUUCAUACCAACAAAAAUUUCAUGGAAUUAAGGCUGAUGGACAUUGGAAAUGCUUCCCCUCUCUUCAUUUCAGGAGGGUCUGUUGCUUCUCGGGGUGAUCAGUUGCUCCUUGCAGAAGAGGCUGUUCAUGGACACAAGCCCUGUGAGGUCAUUAAGUCUUUUUCUUUUUCAGUUACUUUUCUGAACGUUUUGGAGUUUUCUCAUUAGAAUGAAAGCAAAUUUUAUGCUGUAAACAAUUUAAACCUCCUCUACACUGUUCCCAUUAAGCAGGAAGUCCCCUCACAUGGUAAGCAAUGGCUAUUUUUAAUUAAAGUUUCACUGCUAUUAUUUCAUGAUUUUUAAGUAACUAUUCAAGUUGAUAUUUUCAGCCAAAUGAUGUUCUUGGGUUUAGGCCCAAAUGAGUAAUUUGUGAAAGACUUAGACUUACUCGACUCAAAUGCAUUCAGUUUAAUGAGAAUUUUUAAAAAGGUCUUUUACUUUUUUGUUUUCAUCUUGAGUCUUAGAUUGAUUAAUAUCUCUUACAAAACUGGCAGGCCUUCUGCUUCCUCUUCCAACCACUCUUCUUUGCCUUCUGCAUUCAAGAACACUAGGCUCACCAGAGGCAGAGGUCUUGGCCUCUUGAAUUUAAGGAGGGCUCGCCAGGAUCCCACAUCCUUGUUACUUCCUCAAACUCAAGUGAGGGAUGGAAAAGAUGAGAGGCAGAAGUCAUCACGAAGAGGCUGUAAGUGCAGAUGACUCAGUCAAAGUGACACAGCUCCAACGGGCAGCCACCCAUGUCUCACUGACUCUCGUUGCUCCUUUUGUCCACUCAACACCAGAGUGUAUUCUAGAACCAACGCACGUGCCGGGUCUUGCCCUGUAUCACCUCUAAUUCUCCCCAACACCUAGAAAGCAAGCACGAUGAUCCCCCGCUUCCAGGAGGAGAGCACUACUCAUAGAACGUGCGAAACUGGCCUGAGAUGAAGGCAGCAGAGGUGAGCAGUGAUGUGAGCCUGAAACACGGACCUCUCUGCGGACACCCAGCCUGCUCACUGGCUCUCGAGUCCCCAAGGGAAAUGGACUGUGCCUUCUCUGGAGACUUGCAUGCUAUUUCGGUAGCUUGCACAGAGUAGUAACCCACUUGGGAUUUAUUCAAAUCCUUUUCCUGUGUGCAAAGUCACUGAAAUACCCAGGAGGAAACAAGCGCUGUUCCUGGGGAGGAGAGGUCAGGAGUGACCACGAGACUUAUGCGGAACUCACAUUGGAAGAAACUGGCACCUCUGAGUUACUUUAAGGGACCUCUGCCUUAGCACAAAUGAAACUAAGAGUACAGUUCGUAAAUAGCUCUCUAUAUUUCAGAGUCAGCACUUUGAGAAAUAAUUGCUGGAGACUGCCUUGCCUUUUUUUUAAAUUAUACUUUAAGUUCUGGGGUAUGUGUGCAGAUCGUGCAGGUUUGUUACAUAGCUAUACACAUGCCAUGGGGGUUUGCUGCAUCCAUCCCCCUGUCAUCUACAUUAGGCAUUUCUCCUAAUGUUAUCUGUCCCCAAUCCCCCACCCCCUGAUAUCCCUCCCCUAGUUUCCCCCCAUAACAACAGGCCCCACUGUGUAAUGUUCCCCUCCCUGCAACCAUGUGUUCUCAUUAUUCAACACCCACUUAUGAGUGAGAACAUGCAGUGUUUGGUUUUCUCUUCUUGUGUCAGUUUGCUGUAAAUGAUGGUUUCCAGCUUCAUCCAUGUCUCUGCAGAGGACAUGAACCCAUCCUUUUGCAUGGCUACAUAGCAUUCCGUGAUGUAUAUGUGCCACAUUUUGUUUUUAAAUCAGCCAGAAUGCAAGUGGUUGUCCAUCCAAUGCAGUCGGUGAAGGGCCAGAAAGAAAAGGACACUGCAGAACCAGACCGGUGGAAAGAAGAGGGCGGAGAGAGGGUCUCUCCAGUGGCCCAACCCUUAGGGGGAAAUGAAUUUGCACUCAGUACCAGAACGAGGCUGAUCCUAGGGUACGUAAGAAUAUUGGUUUCUUAUGCACCAAAGCUUCCUGCCUCGCAAGCUGAGUAUACAUCUUCCCUAGCAUGAUUUUGAUCCUUCCCAAACUUUUCCGUAGUUACCUCUGUAAGGCACUGUGGAGAGACCAGUUCAAGGGAGACUGGGACGGAGGCCGAACAGAAGAGGUCACACACACUCCACUGUUAAGGUUCUGGAUUUCAGAAUAGGUGGAACAGAGAUGUCUCCCCCAUCCGUGCCUGUGAAUGGGGCCUCCACUUGGUUGGGUCUGCCCAAGGUCAUACUUUUGUACAUAAAAUUAAAUAAGGAAAAAGGGGAGCAUCUAUGAAUUAUGGAUCUUUUCAAGCACAUCACAGUUUCCCAAAAAAAGAAGGACUCAGGGAAAGAACAGAAUAACGCGAACUUCUACCACUAGUUUGAGACGCCCUUUCCAAUCGAUCAAGAAACGUUUUUAAGUACCUAUCAAAUGUUCAGUAUUUUCUACUCAAUAAAGAGGCAACUGUAAGUUCUGGAAAAUAUGAUUCCCACUUUUAAAAUGGUAUCAUCUGGUUAGAGAAGUGAGGUGAAUAGACUUCACAUACAUAAUAAGACAAAACAGAUUAAAUUUAGUGCUGAAUUAUGCGUUUAGGAAGAAUGAUAAGGCCAGGGUAAUCAUAGGAGCCUUCGAGGGCACAGUUAUCUCAUUAUUAAAAGGAGGAGUGAUUUGGAUGAUGGAGGAAAGACCUAGAUGCUCAAGGACCACGUGUGUGAGGGAGAAAUGUGAAAUGGAGGGGCGACAUAGACUAGAGUGUUUUCUCAUCUGUAAAAGGGGGAAAGCAUCAGCCCUUUCACCUUCAUGGGAUUUCUCUGGGAAGGAAAGUUAGGUAGCUGGUGUAUUUCAAUUCAAGCCUGAUGAGGAAGUUAGAAGCCAUGGGGUCCUUGGAAGUAUGAUUCCCUGUAGCCAGUCAGAAGAUUCCUCCAUAAGCCUGUCUCCCUCCUGAGGUACCACUGGCUCCACCCUACUGCUCUGUCUGCUGCUCCCCUUGGCUCUCCUCAGAGUAGAGCAAAAGUAGAAUAAGGUAGAGGAGCACCCCUCCUCCACAAAGACCAGGGAGGAGUCUUCAAGACUGGGCACGCCAAAGCAGUCUGAACCUCCUCCAUGAGAUGUUGCAAGAAUGAAGGAGUUCCCUGUGGAUUGAGUGAAUACCAAAUGUUCUGGCAUGUGGAUACCCAGUCAAGAGGGGUCUUUCAGGCAUGAAGCAGGAAGCUGAGGGCAUGACUUCUUACUGUGGGAGCUAAGGAGAUGGAGAUCUCCAUACAGUCUCCAAAGAACCAUACGGGUGUCCACCCAUGAUGAACACUUGGAUUUCCAGCUUAGGAAGAGCACCAAAGGCCAGCAUCAGCCACUAAGGCCACAGUACACAACCAAACAGACUGUCAUCUCACCCAGUCACUCGGGGGCACUUGCACUUUCUCGCCAACUUCCUGACCUUAUCCUCAGAGGGUCCUAGAAGAGAGAUAAGGAGGAAGAGAAGAAGAAAGAGGAGGAGGACAAGAAUGAGGGGGAUGAGGAGGAGGGAGCUGAGGUGUACUUGCUCCAUAGGCAGGAGACAAGAGAUCUGAACCCGUCUCGAGAGUGACAUUUGCAGGGGAAGAGCACUGGAUCCUUAGUACCAAAAUGAAGCAGCUCUGAAAAUCAGUGGGGCUGAGAAAGGACAGGCUCCAGCAGAAAGUCACUGAGGAUGCCUGGAGAAGGGAGGGUUCAGCCUAGCAGAGUUGGAAGGGGCAAAUAUUGGAAAAAACAAAACUACAGAGUUUUCUGCUGAUCCUGCCAAUAAAACAACACUUCACAAGAAGCCAGUGUCCAUUUGUAUUUGUAAGAAACGAAUAUGUUCACGUUUCUAAAAGUUAG